Triticum aestivum (bread wheat) is the source of this 631-nucleotide long non-coding RNA. RefSeq lists it as uncharacterized. The record is from RefSeq and is a predicted model, not a curated record. The transcript has 3 exons. NCBI's taxonomy places the organism in Eukaryota, Viridiplantae, Streptophyta, Magnoliopsida, Poales, Poaceae.
CAAAAAGCUCCUCAUCCCAUCAAGAUGAAAUCCUAAUUGGUAUGGAUGUGCUUCUAUAUGCAUGGACUGGUCCUGAAACUCAUGUUGCUAAGGCAGCAAUUAUCUCAGUUGUCCAGACACAAUUGCAGGCUCGGAUCCCCUUGGACCAGCACUUAUGAGGUUGUUGUCAAUGUUGUGAUCAGAAGGGAUGCUACGCUGCCUUAUGAAUAUGAUGGUUUACGAUUUGUCACUGAUGCAGUCACAAGGUCCAUUGCAUGGCCAUCUAGCAAGCCCUACAAGCCAGGGGAAUCUUCCUCAUCUCGCUGCUAAGGUAUUUAUGUGAUUCACUAUUUAUGUGAUCCCGCUGUUAUCAUGACCACUUGGUACUGUACAAGAGUUUAUUCUUGGUGCUUCCUAGCUCAAAGUGCAUAAAGAGUGCAUCAUGUAUUCUGGUCAGCAUUGAUUUAUCAUGGAAUCCUAGCUCAAAGUGCAUGAAGAUUCCAUAAUGACCAGAUUACAUAUGUUAAUCUGGACAUAAGUUUAUCAUUGUUUUACACUUUUAGUUCUUGGUCAGCAUUGAUUUGUUCUCUCCAUCAAAAGAACUAAUUGCUCAAUUAAAAUAAAAGUGAAAUAGAGUUGUUGUCAAUUUUUU